ACUGAGUGGCGACGGGUGAGUAACGCGUGGGUAACCUGCCCUGUACAGGGGGACAACAGUUAGAAAUGACUGCUAAUACCGCAUAAGCGCACAGGACCGCAUGGUCCGGUGUGAAAAACUCCGGUGGUACAGGAUGGACCCGCGUCUGAUUAGGUAGUUGGCGGGGUAACGGCCCACCAAGCCGACGAUCAGUAGCCGACCUGAGAGGGUGACCGGCCACAUUGGGACUGAGACACGGCCCAAACUCCUACGGGAGGCAGCAG
RNAcentral lists this ribosomal RNA (263 nucleotides) under uncultured bacterium. RNAcentral's name for it is "partial 16S ribosomal RNA". It matches the Rfam family "Bacterial small subunit ribosomal RNA", at positions 90 to 354 of the family's 1533-position model. The record is from RNAcentral.